CGGCGGACGGGUGAGUAACGCGUAGGUAACCUGCCCCAUACAGAGGGAUAGCCACUGGAAACGGUGAUUAAUACCUCAUAAAACUGAGAAUACACAUGUAUACUCAGCCAAAGAUUUAUCGGUAUGGGAUGGACCUGCGUCUGAUUAGUUAGUUGGUGAGGUAACGGCUCACCAAGGCGACGAUCAGUAGCCGACCUGAGAGGGUGAUCGGCCACAUUGGAACUGAGACACGGUCCAAACUCCUACGGAAGGCAGCAG
RNAcentral lists this ribosomal RNA (258 nucleotides) under uncultured bacterium. RNAcentral's name for it is "partial 16S ribosomal RNA". It matches the Rfam family "Bacterial small subunit ribosomal RNA", at positions 96 to 354 of the family's 1533-position model. The record is from RNAcentral.